RNAcentral lists this ribosomal RNA (492 nucleotides) under uncultured bacterium. RNAcentral's name for it is "partial 16S ribosomal RNA". It matches the Rfam family "Bacterial small subunit ribosomal RNA", at positions 29 to 507 of the family's 1533-position model. The record is from RNAcentral.
AGUGAACGCUGGCGGUAGGCCUAACACAUGCAAGUCGAACGGCAGCACAUUAAUAGCUUGCUCUUACGGGUGGCGAGUGGCGGACGGGUGGGGAAUACAUCGGAAUCUACUUUUUCGUGGGGUCUAACGUAGGGAAACUUUCCCUCAUACGGCUUACGACCUACGGGUUAAAGCAGGUGAUCUUCGAACCUUGCGCGAUUUAGUGCGCCGAUGUCUGAUUAGAUAGUUGGCGGGGUAAAGGCCCACCACGGCGACGCGCCGUAGCUGGUCUGAGAGGAUGAACAGCCACACUGGAAGUGAGACACGGUCCAGACUCCGAGGGGAGGCAGCAGUGGGGAAUAUUGGACGAGGGGGGAAAGCCUGAUACAGCAAUACCGCGUGGGUGAAGAAGGACUACGGGUUGUAAAGCGAUUUUGUUGGGAAAGAAAAGCAGCAGGUUAAUAACCGGCUGUUAUGACGGUACCCAAAGAAGAAGCAACGGCUAACUUCGUG